This 468-nucleotide ribosomal RNA is filed under the name uncultured bacterium. Its description in RNAcentral is "partial 16S ribosomal RNA". It matches the Rfam family "Bacterial small subunit ribosomal RNA", at positions 28 to 507 of the family's 1533-position model. The record is from RNAcentral.
GACGAACGCUGGCGGCGUGCUUAACACAUGCAAGUCGAACGGAAAGGCCCUGCUUUUGUGGGGUGCUCGAGUGGCGAACGGGUGAGUAACACGUGAGUAACCUGCCCUUGACUUUGGGAUAACUUCAGGAAACUGGGGCUAAUACCGGAUAGGAGCUCCUGCUGCAUGGUGGGGGUUGGAAAGUUUCGGCGGUUGGGGAUGGACUCGCGGCUUAUCAGCUUGUUGGUGGGGUAGUGGCUUACCAAGGCUUUGACGGGUAGCCGGCCUGAGAGGGUGACCGGGCACAAUGGGACUGAGGUACGGCCCAGACUCCUACGGGAGGCAGCAGGGGGGAAUAUUGCACAAUGGGCGGAAGCCUGAUGCAGCAACGCCGGGUGCGGGAUGACGGCCUUCGGGUUGUAAACCGCUUUCGCCUGUGACGAAGCGUGAGUGACGGUAAUGGGUAAAGAAGCACCGGCUAACUACGUG